RNAcentral lists this ribosomal RNA (432 nucleotides) under uncultured bacterium. Its description in RNAcentral is "partial 16S ribosomal RNA". It matches the Rfam family "Bacterial small subunit ribosomal RNA", at positions 29 to 506 of the family's 1533-position model. The record is from RNAcentral.
AACGAACGCUGGCGGCAUGCCUAACACAUGCAAGUCGAACGACACCUUCGGGUCUAGUGGCGCACGGGUGCGUAACGCGUGGGAACCUGCCCUUAGGUUCGGAAUACCUCCCCGACAGGGGUUCUAAUACCGUAUAAUGUCUUCGGAUAAAAGAUUUAUCGCCUUUGGAUGGGCCCGCGUUGGAUUAGCUAGUUGGUAGGGUAAAAGCCUACCAAGGCGACGAUCAAUAGCUGGUCUGAGAGGAUGAUCAGCCACACUGGGACUGAGACACGGCCCAGACUCCUACGGGAGGCAGCAGUGGGGAAUAUUGGACAAUGGGCGAAAGCCUGAUCCAGCAAUGCCGGGUGAGUGAUGAAGGCCUUAGGGUUGUAAAGCUCUUUUACACGGGAUGAUAAUGACAGUACAGGGAGAAUAAGCUCCGGCUAACUCCGU